GAUGAACGCUGGCGGCGUGCCUAAUACAUGCAAGUCGAGCGAACAGACGAGGAGCUUGCUCCUCUGACGUUAGCGGCGGACGGGUGAGUAACACGUGGAUAACCUACCUAUAAGACUGGGAUAACUUCGGGAAACCGGAGCUAAUACCGGAUAAUAUAUUGAACCGCAUGGUUCAAUAGUGAAAGACGGUUUUGCUGUCACUUAUAGAUGGAUCCGCGCCGCAUUAGCUAGUUGGUAAGGUAACGGCUUACCAAGGCAACGAUGCGUAGCCGACCUGAGAGGGUGAUCGGCCACACUGGAACUGAGACACGGUCCAGACUCCUACGGGAGGCAGCAGUAGGGAAUCUUCCGCAAUGGGCGAAAGCCUGACGGAGCAACGCCGCGUGAGUGAUGAAGGUCUUCGGAUCGUAAAGCUCUGUUAUUAGGGAAGAACAAAUGUGUAAGUAACUGUGCACGUCUUGACGGUACCUAAUCAGAAAGCCACGGCUAACUACGUG
This 497-nucleotide ribosomal RNA is filed under the name uncultured bacterium. RNAcentral describes it as "partial 16S ribosomal RNA". It matches the Rfam family "Bacterial small subunit ribosomal RNA", at positions 28 to 507 of the family's 1533-position model. The record is from RNAcentral.